Molecule: small nuclear RNA, 103 nt
Organism: Ursus americanus (American black bear)
Lineage: Eukaryota; Metazoa; Chordata; Mammalia; Carnivora; Ursidae
Source: Ensembl
GUGCUCACUUUGGUAGCAUAUAUACUGAAAUUGGAACGGUACAGAGAUUAGCAUAGUUCUGUGCAAGGAUGGCAUGCAAAUUUGCAAAGCAUUCCAUAUUUUA